GAAGCGGAAGCGUGCUCAGUUAGGUCUGGACUAAUGCAAAUAUGUAGUAUUGAUAUCAAAUUGCACCAGUCCCGGCCUGAUUAAGUAUGCAGGAAAC
Molecule: microRNA precursor, 97 nt
Filed under: Dinoponera quadriceps
Lineage: Eukaryota; Metazoa; Arthropoda; Insecta; Hymenoptera; Formicidae
Description: microRNA dqu-mir-92b precursor
Gene: dqu-mir-92b
Source: miRBase by way of RNAcentral